UACAGAGGGUGCGAGCGUUAAUCGGAAUUACUGGGCGUAAAGCGUGCGUAGACGGUAGCGUAAGUCAGAUGUGAAAGCCCCGGGCUCAACCUGGGAACUGCAUUUGAGACUGCUCUGCUCGGGUGCGGAAGAGGGAAGCGGAAUUUCCGGUGUAGCGGUGAAAUGCGUAGAUAUCGGAAGGAACACCAGUGGCGAAAGCGGCUUCCUGGUCCGACACCGACGUUCAGGCACGAAAGCGUGGGGAGCAAACGGG
Molecule: ribosomal RNA, 253 nt
Filed under: uncultured bacterium
Lineage: Bacteria
Description: partial 16S ribosomal RNA
Rfam family: Bacterial small subunit ribosomal RNA
Source: RNAcentral